Molecule: transfer RNA, 63 nt
Filed under: Rattus norvegicus (Norway rat)
Lineage: Eukaryota; Metazoa; Chordata; Mammalia; Rodentia; Muridae
Rfam family: tRNA
About the family: Transfer RNA (tRNA) molecules are approximately 80 nucleotides in length.
Source: Rfam by way of RNAcentral
GGGGAUUUAGCUCAGCAGUAGAGCGCUUGCCUAGCACGCAAAAGGCCCUGGAUUCAGUCCCCA